RNAcentral lists this ribosomal RNA (132 nucleotides) under Triticum aestivum (bread wheat). RNAcentral's name for it is "partial small subunit ribosomal RNA". The record is from RNAcentral. Lineage: Eukaryota; Viridiplantae; Streptophyta; Magnoliopsida; Poales; Poaceae.
AUGACUGAUGUGAGUCCAUGGAUUAUACGCACUCUCACCCUUCCAUCAUUGCUAGCCUCUCCGGUACUGUGCAUUUCCCUUUGUCACCUCGAGAGUUGGUGCAAACUUCACCGGUGCAUCCAAACCUUGUGA